Molecule: long non-coding RNA, 424 nt
Filed under: Equus caballus (horse)
Lineage: Eukaryota; Metazoa; Chordata; Mammalia; Perissodactyla; Equidae
Description: lncRNA (ENSECAG00000058270.1)
Source: RNAcentral
GGAUCAGGAGUGCUGCCUGGAUUGUGCUGACUACUUCUUGAACACCCUCUCACCCAGCCUUGCUGCAGCCUUACCUGCAAACCCACCUGUGGUGGAAUGGGAGGGGCUGUUCUUAUCCUCAUCUGAUAGAUGAGAAGACUGUGACUCAGAGAGGUGAAUGACUUGGCCAAAGUCUAGCAACCAACGUUUUUCAGAGUGCUGUCCUGCUCUGAUGCUGACACUCUUAGUCUCUCACCCCCUAGAUUUCCCAAGCAGGAGGGCCACUCAAUUUCUGCAUCAACCAAAUGCAAGGAACACACUUGAAGGCUCUCCAAGUGGUCCUGCUGAAGUCCCCAUCACUUCUCAUGUGGAAACCAGAGCUCAGAAAGAAGAAAUGAUUUUGUACCAUCUCCCAAGGAGUCAAUGGUGAAGAUAGAAUUAAAAC